RNAcentral lists this ribosomal RNA (396 nucleotides) under uncultured bacterium. Its description in RNAcentral is "partial 16S ribosomal RNA". It matches the Rfam family "Bacterial small subunit ribosomal RNA", at positions 523 to 918 of the family's 1533-position model. The record is from RNAcentral.
AUACGUAGGGCGCGAGCGUUGUCCGGAAUUACUGGGUGUAAAGGGAGCGUAGGCGGGAGUGCAAGUCAGAUGUGAAAUACAUGGGGUCAAACCAUGGGCUGCAUUUGAAACUGCAUUUCUUGAGUGAAGUAGAGGGAAGCGGAAUUCCGGGAGUAGCGGUGACAUGCGUAGAUGGCAGGAGGAACACCGGUGGCGAAGGCGGCUUCCUGGGCUUUUACUGACGCUGAGGCUCGAAAGCGUGGGGAGCAAACAGGAUUAGAUACCCUGGUAGUCCACGCUGUAAACGAUGAUUACUAGGUGUGGGGGGACUGACCCCUUCCGUGCCGCAGUUAACACAAUAAGUAAUCCACCUGGGGAGUACGGCCGCAAGGUUGAAACUCAAAUGAAUUGACGGGG